UACGGGGGGGGCAAGCGUUGUUCGGAAUUACUGGGCGGAAAGGGCUCGUAGGGGGCCAACUAAGUCAGACGUGAAAUCCCUCGGCUUAACCGGGGAACUGCGUCUGAUACUGGAUGGCUUGAGGUUGGGAGAGGGAUGCGGAAUUCCAGGUGUAGCGGUGAAAUGCGUAGAUAUCUGGAGGAACACCGGUGGCGAAGGCGGCAUCCUGGACCAACACUGACGCUGAGGAGCGAAAGCCAGGGGAGCAAACGGG
Molecule: ribosomal RNA, 253 nt
Filed under: uncultured bacterium
Lineage: Bacteria
Description: partial 16S ribosomal RNA
Rfam family: Bacterial small subunit ribosomal RNA
Source: RNAcentral